This 5443-nucleotide long non-coding RNA is filed under the name Daucus carota (carrot). RNAcentral describes it as "long non-coding RNA (DCAR_LNC005962)". The record is from RNAcentral. Lineage: Eukaryota; Viridiplantae; Streptophyta; Magnoliopsida; Apiales; Apiaceae.
GCGCUAUCCCAUUAUUCCUCAUGGUAUUCAGAAUCUCUAAUGCCCUGCUCGUUUUGCCUCUUAAACAAAAUCCAUCCAUUAGUGUGUUGUAGGUGAUAACAUCAGGAGGUACACUUUUCUCGAUCAUAAUAUCAAUAACAUCUUGAGCAUCUUUUGUCCUCCCUUCUUUGCAGUAUGCAUCAACUAAUAUAUUAUAGGUGUGCAAAUCUGAAGGGAUGUUCCUAACACCCAUCUCAGUUAACAAACGCUCAGUGUCCUCCCAUCGGCCUGAGCUGCAAAGACCUUGAAGUAAGCUGUUAUAGGUUAUAACAUUAGGUGAUAUGCCUUUGUGUGUCAUUACAGACACAAGAUCCAAUGCAUUAUCGACUCGUCUUUCUUUGCACAAAGAAUCAAUAAUCGAGGUAUAAGUUAUCGCAUUGGGUCUACAACCUAAAUUCUCCAUCUUUCUUAACAACUUGAGAGCCGUGGAAGUAUUUGAAGUUUUGCAGAGACCAUCAAUGAUGGUGCUAUACAUAACUACAUUGGGCUGAAUUUCUCGAAAUCUGAUAAGCUUCCUAAAUAAAUGAUCAGCCUCCAAAGGCUUGUCUUGAGAUAGAAGGCCCUUGAUGAGAGUGGCGUAGGUAAAGACAUCGGGCACCCAACCACUCUUGAUGAUUCCAGCAAGCAACGAAAAGGCAUAAUCAAGUGUAUUCAAGUGACAACAGGAAUGGAUGAUGGUAUUAAAGGUAACAAUAUCAACAGGAAUGCUUAAAACACGCAUUUCUCUAAACAUGGAGACGGCAACAGAGUAUUCUUUCAUCCGAACAAGGGCGGUUAAGAGUUGGCUGAACUUAAUAACGGGAAGCAGAGGUUUUAUUUGAAGCAUUUUAUCAAACACCUCAAGAGCAUCGUCAAGUUUAUUAAAACCAACCUUGGAUUUCUCAUAAAGUAACUGCUGAAGUUGCGGAUGAGUGGUGGAUGAAGAUGGGAUAAAGGGCCUUUUGGGUUCUGAAUUAGUAGAGAAAGGAAGAAAAUGAGAAUGAAAAAGAGAUGAACAAGUGAAAGCAUGAAAUAGAGCUCCUCUCUUGACCAACAUGCCAGCCAUUGCUCAACCGUCUUUCUCUUUCUCUUUCAGGCGUGUAUAGAUAGAUUAUUAUUAGAACGGUUUUUCUAAUAGAGGCAGAUGUGCACACACUAAACAUCAAAUUUUAUAAAUUUUGUGGUUUUUGAUUGGCUCAUACUUCUUUAUAAUGAUGGACUUCCUGCAAAUUCACCAAUCACACCAAUCAAAAUCCACCAAAAUUAUAGAAUUUGAUGCUUAGUAUGUGUUCAUGGGCACACACUGGUCAAACCCUAUUAGAAUAGGGAAUAUGUUUCAACUAAGAUAGGUUUUAAAUUGUUAAUUUCUUUUAAUUAUAUCCAGAUAUCAGAACCAUGGAUCCAAACACAGAAAAUAUUUGGAGCUCCGUUGAAACCAGUUUUUUAAAUAUGAAACAUCAUGUAAAAAUAUUAUUUUCAAUAUUUUAGUAUUUUGUUAACAACAUUUCUACUGGAAUUCGAUUUUCUUAGUUUCUACAACUCCGAAUCCUAGUGUGAGUGAAUGCAUGGAUCAAAUAUUCUCCAUAUAUAAACUCAUGCAUGUGUACAUGGCCCAAAAAUAAAUUAUUUAUAGGUAAUAUUUUUUCCCGGUUCCAAACCAUACUAGUGCACGAAGGUUUCGAUGACCAAAUCCACAAUUUUGCUUGAAUAAAUACUAUUAGCCGGUUAUCGUCUUACUUGAAUACAAUCAGCUGGUUAUUGUCCGGCUUAAGCAGGCAGAUAUGAACAAUUAGCAAGGCUUAUUGGGAUCAUCCACACAAAAUGUGCAGAGUAUUUGGUUAUUCAGUGUCCGAACCGAAUUAUUUGGUAACCGAAUAAGCUCAGACAAAUAACCCGUAGUAAUAUAAUUUGGCGAGAAGAAAUGACAUUACUAGUACUAUCAUAUUAAGCCUAGACAAAUAACCCAUAGUAGUAUAUUCAUUCAACAGAUGGCGCAUCACUACAUCAGUACAUCACCAAAUGUAGCCAGCAAGUUUGAACAACAGUUUGCAACAGCCAAGACCCGGAAGCAACUCCAAUAUAAACUAAACACUCCAGCACUAGCACCGUAUUAGACAGCAUUACAGCAACACUGCAACAGACCUUUCACAACAGCAGGUCAGCAACUUCGGUUCUAUUCAGAUUUAAGCAAACAAAGAGCCACCACAAUUCAAUCAGCAAUUCAUACUUCCUUUCGAAACAGUGCCAGACUGCAGAAAUUACUAAAUUGACAGAAAACUGAAGACUGCGGAAUAAAUAAAAAAAGAGCAUUAGAAUUUAUUUAAGCAAAAUUGCAGACCGGUUCUUCCAGAAAACUAGUUCCUUUACUAAAAACAGUGGCAGACUGCAAAAUAGUUCCUUUACAAAUUUUUCCAAAACCUAUCAAAAACAUUCACUUAUCACUUCAAUAUACUUAAAAAAAAAUUUGAAAUUGCCGACUGCAGGAAGAAAACAACUCAUCAUGCAGUAUAGCUUUGUACAUAUAGGAGAUGGAAAGCGAAACAAAGCAAGCAAUCACAAAUUCACAAUCCAUAUAGUUAAAAAAGUAUUUCUUACGCAUCGGCUAUGUAAAUUUGAUGGGUAGAUUAAUCUGCUACAAUUAUACAGCAACUGAACAUCCAAGAACAACAAACUAGCACAACAACUAUUAGCAAAACAACACAGGCUAACUGGAUCCAUUUAAAAUAUGAUACUGAAUAUUUUGUGUAUUAAUUAUCACAUCAUAAAUGAUGAAAUAUAUAGAAAAAUAGGUGAAAAGAGAGUUUUUAUAAUUGUUGCAUCACCAAAAAAAUGAAAAAUAUACAAGUAUUGGACCUAUGAAUAAUUACUUUUUCUGGGAAAAAUAUAAGAGCGGGUAGGACAUGCCAAACAUGAUACGUACGAUAUCGAUUUUCACAAAGGUCAAUUUACAUCAUAAGUUGCCAUCUUUAAAAUAUCAGAUGUGGGAAUUUCUAGCAAACAUACGCUAACUUCCAUUCUAACUAGUAAUUCUUUGCUUCCUCGUAUAACUUUUUAACAUAAUCCUCUAGUCAAUAUGUUAUGUGUUAUGGCAUUGGGUUUCAAAUCCAUCCAUAAGCAUAUUGUAGGUGGGUUUAUAUCUAUUUACAUCUUUAAAAUUAAUAUUAUGAGUGUUAAAAUUUAAUAUUUAUCUAGGUGGUUCUGUUGCUGCUCAUACAAAACGCAAAAGAUGGGACUAAAUAUUCAAGUUUUCAAAUUUUACUCGCAUAGGAGUAAAGACGACGUAUUCAUACUUUUCUGAUCAUUCUUCUGCACUUCUAGUAAGCAGUCCUCAAUAUCAAACAGGAAGCAUUAAUGAGGGACUAGGAGAUGGACUUCAGUUAUCCAGCAUCUGACGUAGAGACCUUCAGAACUAUUUGACUGAUCUUCUCAAAUCAAGACUGUGCUCAAGCUGUUCGCGUGAUCAUUUUUCUGCACAAUAUCAAACAGGAAGCAUAACACAUGAGGGACUACACAGAUUAGGGAGAAAAUAUUGCGCAGCCAUAAAAAGUUUCACCUAACAAACCGAAACUUAAUUUUGCACAUUAAGUUAUUAGAACCAGAGAAAUACAAUAUUAUUCAAAAAGCCAACUUUUUUUCCAAGACAAAUAGCCUAAUAUCACCGUUUUGUCUCUGCCAAAGCCACAUCGAUGAAACAAGGAGAACAUGAGAAGAACAUAACCACAUAAAACUAUAUUCUUGCGAACACUCUAUAACACAAAUCUCUGGAGGUUCGACGCAGACUCUCGCUUCCUAGCGUUCUAUAACAUAUACACCACAAUUUGGUUUUACGGCUUUUAGUAGCAAGCAGAAUCAAUAGUAUCACAACAUAGAAAUUCAAAAAAUAAUGCCAUUAUAUAAAACUAAAGUUAUCUGAUAUAUGCAUUAUAGAGGUAGUAAAGACUACAGAGGCUUCUUUUAUUAUUUUUAAAUGCUGAUUUCUUUUUCCGUAUUAUGGGAAGCGUCGAAAUGCUAGAUUUCAAUUCGGAAUGACAACUUGAACAUAGACUGUCCUUAAUACAUAUAGAAGAGAUAGUAUUACCGUCUCUAAUCCAUUGUCUAUUAUCUCUAAACAAACUGACGGUACUCCUUAAGUUGCAAAUAGAUAAAUUCUUUACUCAGCAAAACAUAUUACUAUAGCAGAUAACUUAAAUAAGUUAGGAGAUGAUAACACAUAAGAAUGAACCAUAAAUUUCAGACCUAUUGCAGAAACCAUUUGGCAAAAGCAAGAACGGCAGGGUCCUGUUCUUCCUGUUCUUUCUGUUCUUCUUUAGGUAAUAGGUCGACUACCAUGGAUGUGGUAGAUGCAUCCGCUGAGAAAUUGUGAGCUCGCAUGUUCUCAAUCAGUACAACUGCUUCUUCGUAUCUUUUAUUCAAAAGGCUUCCACGGAUGAUCGUGUUGUAAGUCACAUCGUCAGGCAAACAACCACUAGUUUCCAUUUCAGAAAGUAAUAUCUUUGCUUCCUCAAAUAACCCUCCUUGACAAUAGCCAUUUAUCAGAAUGGUAUAGCUAUAACAAUCUGGAGCUAUCCCAUUACUCCUCAUGGUAUUCAGCACCUCUAGCGCCCUGUCCAUUUUGCCUGUUAAACAAUAUCCAUCCAUUAGUGUGCUGUAGGUGAUUACAUCAGGAGGUACACUUUUCUCGAUCAUAAUAUCAAUAACAUCUUGUGCAUCUUUUGUCCUCCCUUGUUUGCAGUAUGCAUUAACUAAUAUACUAUAGGUAUGCAAAUCAGGACGGAUCUUCUGAGCACCCAUCUCACUUAACAAUGGCUCAAUGUCCUCCCAUCGGCUAGAGAUGCAAAGACCUUGAAUUAAUAUGGUAUAGGUUAUAACAUUUGGUGGAAUGCCUUUAACGAUCAUUUCAGACACAAGAUCCAAUGCAUGAUCGACUCGUCUCUCUUUGCACAAAGAAUCAAUAAUCAAGGUAUAAGUUAUAGUAUUGGGUCUGCAACCUAUCUCCUCCAUCUUUCUUAACAGCUUGAGAGCCAUGGAGGUAUUUGAAGUUUUGCAGAGACCUUUAAUGACGGUGUUAUAAGUAACUACAUCAGGAUGAAUUUCUUCAUAUGUUAUAAGCUUGUAAAACAAAUCCCCAGCUUCCAAAGGCCUGUCUUGAGAUAGAAGGCCCUUGAUGAGAGGGUUGUAGGUAAAGACAUUAGGUGAUAUGCCUUUGUGGGGCAUUUCAGACACAAGAUCCAAUGCAUGAUCGACUCGUCUCUCUUUGCACAAAGAAUCAAUAAUCGAGGUAUAAGUUAUAGUAUCGGGUCUGCAACCUAUCUCCUCCAUCUUUCUUAACAGCUUGAGAGCCAUGGAGGUAUUUGAAGUUUUGCAGAGACCAUCAAUGACGGUGUUAUAAGUAACUACAUCAGGAUGAAUUUCUUCAUAUGUUAUA